CCUACGGGUGGCAGCAGUGAGGAAUAUUGCGCAAUGGGGGAAACCCUGACGCAGCGACGCCGUGUGAGCGAUGAAGGCCUUCGGGUUGUAAAGCUCUGUCAGAGGGGAAGAAAGGGGAUAUGGCUAAUAUCCAUGUCCAUUGACGGUACCCUUGGAGGAAGCACCGGCUAACUCCGUGCCAGCAGCCGCGGUAAUACGGGGGGUGCGAGUGUUAUUCGGACUCGUUGGGCGUAAGGUACAUGUAAGGGGAAAUCCCGGAGCUCAACUCCGGAACUGCAUUUGAUACUGCCUGUCUUGAGUGUGGUAGAGGGGGGUGGAAUUCCCGGUGUAGAGGUGAAAUUCGUAGAUAUCGGGAGGAACACCAGAGGCGAAGGCGACCCCCUGGGCCACUACUGACGCUGAGGUGCGAAAGCGUGGGGAGCAAACAGGAUUAGAUACCCCAGUAGUC
RNAcentral lists this ribosomal RNA (448 nucleotides) under uncultured bacterium. RNAcentral describes it as "partial 16S ribosomal RNA". It matches the Rfam family "Bacterial small subunit ribosomal RNA", at positions 338 to 795 of the family's 1533-position model. The record is from RNAcentral.